This is a long non-coding RNA of Macadamia integrifolia, 459 nucleotides long. RefSeq lists it as uncharacterized. The record is from RefSeq and is a predicted model, not a curated record. Lineage: Eukaryota; Viridiplantae; Streptophyta; Magnoliopsida; Proteales; Proteaceae. The transcript is spliced from 2 exons.
UUUAGGGUUUUAAACUCUAUAGUGUGCAGAGCUCUUGAUCAUGCAAGUGUUGCUCGUGGGUGUUGUUGAUCUUCCUGUGAGUGCUGAUGUAGUCAAGUUUUUUAUUCUUGAGGAGGUACCAAGUUUGAGGUACAACAGGGUUUCCACGGGUAGAUCUCAAUCCCUCGAGUUAUUGAUGAGAUGAGGAAGUACUUAUCAUUCUCCGGCAGAGGUUCUAAGUUCGCGCAUGCAUUUUUUUUUUUUUCCAUUGCCUACUUUAUGUCAAUAUGAUCUUAAAGGUUCUAAAUUCGUGCAUGUGUUUUUUCUAUUCCCUACUUUAUGUUGAUAUGAUCUUAAUGAGGUACAAGGCUUUGCAUCUGACAUUUGUUGGGCUUUCAUCUUUGGUUUAGAAUACAUUCUAAAAUGAGAGAGAGAGAGAGAGAUUAAGUAAAACUCUCUCUCCCUUUUGCUUAACUUUUC